GUAAGGAAUAUUGCGCAAUGGGCGAAAGCCUGACGCAGCAACGCCGCGUGCGGGAUGAAGGCCCUCGGGUUGUAAACCGCUUUCAGUAGGGAAGAAAAUGACGGUACCUACAGAAGAAGCCCCGGCCAACUACGUGCCAGCAGCCGCGGUAACACGUAGGGGGCAAGCGUUGUCCGGAUUCAUUGGGCGUAAAGAGCUCGUAGGCGGUUUCGUAAGUCGGAUGUGAAAACUCCAGGCUCAACUUGGAGACGCCAUUCGAUACUGCGAUGACUAGAGUCCAGUAGGGGAGUGUGGAAUUCCUGGUGUAGCGGUGAAAUGCGCAGAUAUCAGGAGGAACACCAGCGGCGAAGGCGGCACUCUGGGCUGGUACUGACGCUGAGGAGCGAAAGCGUGGGUAGCAAACAGGAUUAGAUACCCUAGUAGUCC
This 426-nucleotide ribosomal RNA is filed under the name uncultured bacterium. RNAcentral's name for it is "bacterial SSU rRNA". It matches the Rfam family "Bacterial small subunit ribosomal RNA", at positions 354 to 796 of the family's 1533-position model. The record is from RNAcentral.